GUCUGAGUUGCAUUCAGAAGAUGUAGAUUAGUUUUCUGCAAGUCCUA
RNAcentral lists this transfer RNA (47 nucleotides) under Spinomantis microtis. Its description in RNAcentral is "partial tRNA-Ala". Lineage: Eukaryota; Metazoa; Chordata; Amphibia; Anura; Mantellidae. The record is from RNAcentral.